Molecule: ribosomal RNA, 377 nt
Filed under: uncultured bacterium
Lineage: Bacteria
Description: bacterial SSU rRNA
Rfam family: Bacterial small subunit ribosomal RNA
Source: RNAcentral
UAAUACGUAGGUUGCAAGCGUUAUCCGGAAUUAUUGGGCGUAAAGCGUACGCAGGCGGUUUGUUAAGUUGGAAGUCAAAGCUAUGAGCUCAACUCAUAACAGGUUUCCAAUACUGGCAAGCUGGAGAUAGGCAGAGGAAAGUGGAAUUCUGUAUGUAGGGGUAAUAUCCGUAGAUAUACAGAGGAACACCAAAAGCGAAGGCAGCUUUCUGGGCCUUUUCUGACGCUCAUGUACGAAAGCGUGGGGAGCAAACGGGAUUAGAUACCCCGGUAGUCCACGCCCUAAACGAUGAAUACUAGGUGUUGGGGGUCUCGACCCCUUCAGCGCCGAAGCUAACGCAUUAAGUAUUCCGCCUGGGUAGUACGAUCGCAAGAUUA